This 246-nucleotide long non-coding RNA is filed under the name Olea europaea (common olive). RNAcentral's name for it is "long non-coding RNA (OEUR_LNC010207)". Lineage: Eukaryota; Viridiplantae; Streptophyta; Magnoliopsida; Lamiales; Oleaceae. The record is from RNAcentral.
CCGGCGCGGUUUUUGUUUCCGAUCUGUCUGUCAAAUUUUAGCCCAUUUCGACACAGUCGUGAAAAAUGACGAAAUUGCCCCCGGCGCGAUUUUUAUUUCCGAUCAACCUGCCAAAUUUAAGUCUAUUCCGACACAGUCGCGUAAAAUGACGAAAUUGCCCCCGGCGCUAUUUUUGUUUCCGAUCAACCAGUCAAAUUUUAGCCCAUUUCGGCACAGUCGCGAAAAAUGACGAAAUUGCCCCCGGAG